AGACAGAGUCUCACUCUGUCACCCAGGCUGGAGUGCAGUGCCAUGAUCUUGGCUCACUGCAACCUCUGCCUCCUGGGUUCAAGCGAUUCUCCUGCUUCGGCCUCUCGAGUAGCUGGGAUUACAGGCAUGUGCCACCACGCCCGGCUAAUUUUUUUUAGAGACGGGGUUUCGCCAUAUUGGCCAGGCUGGCUGGUCUCGAACUCCCGACCUCAGGUGAUCCGCCCGCCUCGGCCUCCCAAAGUGCUGGGAUUACAGGCGUGAGCCACUGCGCUGGGCACUUUAAUUCUGUCUUUACUUUCUGAGAUAGUCUCGCUCGGACGCUCAGGUUGGACUGCAAUGGCGUGAUCUCAGCUCGCUGAAACUUCCACCUCCCGGAUUCAAGCGAUUCUCCCGUCUCAGCCUCCCGAGUAGCUGGGAUUAUUGACGCGCAGCACCACGCCCGGCUAAUUUUUGUGGUUUUUGUAUCUUCUGUCUUCUGCUCUUUAGUACCGCAUAGAGCCACAGAAGACUAGUGAGUCGAACAAACGGCCCCUCUUGCAGCAGUUGUUGAUCACAGGGCUGCCCCCGGUACUCAUCCUGUGUCUCUCGUCCAAAUCCCCGCUCCUCCCCAGCUAUCACCUCUGCCGAUGCUGGUGGUUUCCCUGGGUACCGGGAACCAAACUCUCAUUCCCCAGGAACCUAAGUCAGGGUUCCUGCACAUUCACAGUUAUGGGUGGCCCUGGGAGUAACACCUGGCACCCAAACAGAUCACCAGAGUCCACACAUAGUCCACCUGCCCUCCCUGCAUAAGAUCAGCUCUUCUUCCUCCCGAUGAUAGAUCAGGGUCAAUGAUCCCUGCCAAGAUGGCGACUGCUCCAGCCUGCUGGUCCAACCUGUCCAGCCACAGCUGUAGCUUGAAGGCUUGAAGUUCAAUGGGACCCUCUCCUGCUUUCUACAAACUGGUUCCUUUAUUUUUAUUUAUUUGGGACGGGGUCUGGCUCUGUCACCCAGGCUGGAGUGCAGUGGUGCAAUCACUGCUCACUGCAGCAUCCACCUCCCAGCAUCCAUCCACCCUCCUGCCUCAGCCUCUGGAAUAGCUGGGGUACAGAUAGGC
Molecule: long non-coding RNA, 1093 nt
Filed under: Homo sapiens (human)
Lineage: Eukaryota; Metazoa; Chordata; Mammalia; Primates; Hominidae
Description: long non-coding RNA NONHSAT176238.1
Source: RNAcentral